GGUGCUAUGGCCGAGUGGUUUAAGGCGACAGAUUUGAAUUCCUCACUAUCUGUUGGAGUUUCUCCGCGUAGGUUCGAACCCUACUGGCACCG
Mycena crocata is the source of this 92-nucleotide non-coding RNA. The record is from the annotation of a GenBank genome assembly. Lineage: Eukaryota; Fungi; Basidiomycota; Agaricomycetes; Agaricales; Mycenaceae.